Long non-coding RNA from Olea europaea var. sylvestris, 1234 nucleotides. RefSeq lists it as uncharacterized. Lineage: Eukaryota; Viridiplantae; Streptophyta; Magnoliopsida; Lamiales; Oleaceae. The transcript has 2 exons. The record is from RefSeq and is a predicted model, not a curated record.
CUUAUUCAUUCUUUUUUUGCAUUUCAGUGGAAGAUUUAUCCUCUGAAACUUCGGGUGAGGAUCUAGGUUUUUGAUCUUCUGGGGCCAGAUCUUUUUUUAUCCGACAUUUUGGUUAAAUAUUGUUCAAAAUUGAUGUUUUUCAGGUGAAUGUAUGUCGUUCUCUUUUUUCAGUUAUAGCGAUUGUUAUUUUGUUGGAAAAUUUAUUCUGGAAAUUUAAUCUUCUUGUCUUCGACAUUUGGGUUGAGGAUUGUUCAAGAUCCAUUUAUUUUCAGGUGAAAGCACGUCGUUCUCUUUUUUCAAUUGUUAUUUUGUCUUACUCACUUUACUCUCUUCGGAAUUUGUGGGGUCAAUAUUGUUCAAGAUCCAUGUUUUUUAGGUAUUAUUUUUCUCUCUUUUCAUAAGCUGAUAUCUAUUUUUUCUUUUUUAGGUUAAAAGCUAAUACUUAGGCUCUGAACGUUGUAGUCGUUGUUGUCUUUGGAAAGGUGAUUGAUUUAUUGUACAUGUUUUCCUCUUUUCUUUUCUCUGUCGAUGUUUCUUUUCUCCAUUAGCUUAGAAUUAAAGAAAUAAAAUUCGACAGAGAUUGGGGAUUUCUUCAAGGAUGGUUACCCCUCUCUGUUUACCCCCAAUAAUUUUUCCAUUUUUUCAAAACAAACAACCUUUUAACUUGGAAACCCAGAAGCAAAAGAACAAAUACAUGACACGUUUUUCGUUUAGUCGUCGUUCAAUAAUUGGAUGAUGACGGAUUUUUCUCCAGUUGGGAUUUUCUCACCAUUAGUAGAUCGGCAAACUUGAAGGUUUGAUGUUAUUGACUUAUAAUGUUCUAACAUCAUCAAUUAGGCUAGACGCUAUGUUUAAGAUAUGUUGGAGUUAUCCACAAACAUGAUGCGGUAUUCAAAGUGGUGUAGUAUUUUGGGAAGCAGGUUACUGAUUCCAUUGUUUUUUUUUUUUUUUUGGGGCACAAUUGAAGCAAUUCAUAUUACCCAGGAAACUCAAAACAAGUUCUUACAAUGCAAUAAGGCCGUACAUCUUGUGAGCCUUGCCUCGGGAUCUAGCAACCCAUACUUUGGGAAUUUUAGUUAGUUAAGGUCAUCUCUUUUUUGUAGUGGUAUACUAUGUUCACAUCACUAGUCGGUGUGAAGUCUCAGAUAAGAAAACGCCGUUGAAAUGGCUUCAAUGUUAUAUUGCUCGUGCUAUGUUUUAUAUUGCAUUAUCAUAUGUAUGUUUUUAUUUACAA